Molecule: ribosomal RNA, 116 nt
Filed under: Periophthalmus magnuspinnatus
Lineage: Eukaryota; Metazoa; Chordata; Actinopteri; Gobiiformes; Gobiidae
Source: RNAcentral
ACAUGUGGCCAAACCUCUGUGUAAAAGCCUGAUUUCAUCAGAUCUCAUAAACUAAGCAAGGCUGGAUCUGGUUAAUACUUGGAUGAGAGAGCACUGGAAUAUCAGGUUCCACAGUG